Molecule: ribosomal RNA, 605 nt
Filed under: uncultured cyanobacterium
Lineage: Bacteria; Bacillati; Cyanobacteriota
Description: bacterial SSU rRNA
Rfam family: Bacterial small subunit ribosomal RNA
Source: RNAcentral
UCGUACGAAUGCAUUUUAGCUUGCUAGAAUGUAAUGAGUGGUGGACGGGUGAGUAACACGUAAGAACCUACCUUUUGGUGAGGGACAACCAUUGGAAACGAUGGCUAAUACCUCGUAUUGCUGAGAAGUGAAAGAUGAAAAUCGCCAAGAGAUGGGCUUGCGGCUGAUUAGCUAGUUGGUAAGGUAAUGGCUUACCAAGGCGAUGAUCAGUAGCUGGUCUGAGAGGAUGAUCAGCCACACUGGGACUGAGACACGGCCCAGACUCCUACGGGAGGCAGCAGUGAGGAAUUUUCCGCAAUGGGCGAAAGCCUGACGGAGCAAUGCCGCGUGAAGGAUGAAGGCCUAUGGGUUGUAAACUUCUUUUCUCAGAGAAGAAUUCUGACGGUAUCUGAGGAAUAAGCAUCGGCUAACUCUGUGCCAGCAGCCGCGGUAAGACAGAGGAUGCAAGCGUUAUCCGGAAUGAUUGGGCGUAAAGCGUCUGUAGGUGGCUUAAAAAGUCUCCUGUCAAAGAUCAGGGCUUAACCCUGGGCCGGCAGGAGAAACUCUUAGGCUAGAGUUUGGUAGGGGCAGAGGGAAUUCCCGGUGGAGCGGUGAAAUGCGUAGAG